UUACAUGCGAAGAAGAGGACAAGUAGAUCCAGGGAAAUCUGAACAGAGAGCUGCUGGCCGGUGCGAAGCAGUCAGUAUCCGGAUUCGAAACAUCGCCUCCGAGCAGGUCUGACGAAACUUACAGUAGGCAGACCCGGGAUCCUGCCGUUACAAAGGAGCAUCAUUGAUGGAUGAUGACAGAGAGGGUGUAUCGUUUGUACACCAAUCAGGGUGGUAACGCGGAGCAGCUCCGUCCCUAGC
This 240-nucleotide non-coding RNA is filed under the name Paenibacillus beijingensis. RNAcentral's name for it is "T-box sequence". It matches the Rfam family "T-box leader". Rfam says of the family: Uncharged tRNA acts as the effector for transcription antitermination of genes in the T-box leader family. T-boxes are found upstream of many aminoacyl-tRNA synthetase genes and some amino acid biosynthetic genes usually in Gram-positive bacteria. Lineage: Bacteria; Bacillati; Bacillota; Bacilli; Caryophanales; Paenibacillaceae. The record is from RNAcentral.